GAGGCUAUAGCUCAGUGGUAGAGCACAUGCUUAGCGUGCACGAGGUUCUGGGUUCAAUCCCCAGUACCUCCU
Molecule: transfer RNA, 72 nt
Filed under: Camelus bactrianus (Bactrian camel)
Lineage: Eukaryota; Metazoa; Chordata; Mammalia; Artiodactyla; Camelidae
Also listed under: 1 other name
Rfam family: tRNA
About the family: Transfer RNA (tRNA) molecules are approximately 80 nucleotides in length. Their secondary structure includes four short double-helical elements and three loops (D, anti-codon, and T loops). Further hydrogen bonds mediate the characteristic L-shaped molecular structure. tRNAs have two regions of fundamental functional importance: the anti-codon, which is responsible for specific mRNA codon recognition, and the 3' end, to which the tRNAs corresponding amino acid is attached (by aminoacyl-tRNA synthetases). tRNAs cope with the degeneracy of the genetic code in two manners: having more than one tRNA (with a specific anti-codon) for a particular amino acid; and 'wobble' base-pairing, i.e. permitting non-standard base-pairing at the 3rd anti-codon position.
Source: Rfam by way of RNAcentral